Anas platyrhynchos (mallard) is the source of this 1411-nucleotide long non-coding RNA. RefSeq lists it as uncharacterized. NCBI's taxonomy places the organism in Eukaryota, Metazoa, Chordata, Aves, Anseriformes, Anatidae. The record is from RefSeq and is a predicted model, not a curated record.
GAGGCUUAGGUUACCUAGGGUGCUGUUCUACUGUCAUGGUGAAAUGGACUCAGUGUUCCCCAGUAAGCUGCUUUUUCUUCAUGUUUUCUACUGUCUCUGUGAAAUAGUUUUAGAGACUCUAGGUGCUAGUUAUCCUUGGUGGUGCCUUCUCAGUACAAUAAAGCCCUGGUGGUACUACUUCACUGGGAAGUAGAUUGGCAGUGACUCAAGUUCAGAGGCUGGCAGAAAUGAUUCAUACUUGAUCUGACAAGGGAUUCACAGAGUCUCCCAAACACCUUGAGUCAAGACAUCUGUUGUGUGAAGUGCAUCCUCUCCCUGACGAAAAGGAUUAAUACAGUGGAAUUGUCAUCACUAAGUCUCAGAGCAACCCCAUCCACUUCCAGUCAGCUCAUUUUGGCUUUCUCACUUCACCCACAGUGAUAUUUGCUUGCAUACUUUAUGUGAGCAUGUUCCCUGCUUCUAAAGACACAAGGAUCAAGAAGGGUUUUCCCAGUUUUACUGUCAAAUAAUGACACCUGUAGAGAGUGCCUGAUGACAGAUUUGAGCUACCUGAUAAGUAUAAACCAAUCCCCUUUGCUAUCUGAAAAUAAUACAUCAGCCCAGUGAAAAAUAGCUUUGGCAGUAAUUUGUUUAGUUCCAAGAUGGAUUUACUUUCAUGUAAGAAUGAAAAAAAAUGCUUUUAUGGUCAUACAGAACCAAUAUUUGUCUCUGUUGAUAGAGGUGCAGAACUGCACAUAGGUGAGGAAAUUUGUUUAAAUUAUGUUUCCUCACAAUUUAGGGUCUCCAAGGCAGCUGCAACUCAUGAAACAGUAGCAAGCAGAUUCUGCAUGCAAGCCAGGAUCCUAAUAAACUACUUGGCUGGGUGGUUGAGGCUGAUCUUCAUCAUCGUGUCUGAGCAGAUUAGAGAUCUUUUUAAGCAAGACAAUGCAAAAGCCUUUUUAUACAGCAUACACACACUGAACAUAAGCCAAGCUUAUUGAGUUUUGUGCUAGCAGCCUGCCCUCAGAAGAAUCAGCACAGCACUAUUUCUCCUAUUCACAGCAGAGACCUGCAUUUCUCAGGCUCAUCAGUACAGGGCUGCAGUCUUUCCAGCUAUGUUUUGAGAGGCAAACAUGGUAUGAAAGCCUCGUGAAAGAUUUAUGAUAGAUCUGCAUCUUUAUAUGUUAAUGCAAAACUUAAAGCUGCCAUUCAAGCUUUUCCUGUUGCCAUCUUACUAGUAAAUAAUAUACUUGAUUCAGUACCUUUACAGAUUUAUAUGGCUGUCAACACAUUUAAAAAAAACAAACAAACAAAACAAACAAACAAAAAAAAAAAAAAAAAAAAAACAAAACAGAAGUCUUGUGCCUCCACCACAAACUACAACUAGACAGAGUUACAGUGCAAGGAUAGUCAAAGGAUUUAAAUGUGUUAU